GGGAGAAGAGGAGGAGCCCGUCCCCAUUACCUUCCCCCCAGGUGGUGUUUUUGAAGGACAUUGUGUGUUACCUGUCCCUACUGGAGAGGGGCACACCAGAGGACAAGCUGGAGUUCAUGUUCCGGCUGUACGACACAGAUGGCAACGGAGUACUGGACAGCUCGGAACUGGACCGCAUCAUCAAUCAGAUGGUCCACGUGGCAGAGUACCUGGAAUGGGA
Long non-coding RNA from Oncorhynchus masou masou (cherry salmon), 220 nucleotides. RefSeq lists it as uncharacterized. Lineage: Eukaryota; Metazoa; Chordata; Actinopteri; Salmoniformes; Salmonidae. The record is from RefSeq and is a predicted model, not a curated record. The transcript has 3 exons.